This is a non-coding RNA of Schizosaccharomyces pombe (fission yeast), 298 nucleotides long. Lineage: Eukaryota; Fungi; Ascomycota; Schizosaccharomycetes; Schizosaccharomycetales; Schizosaccharomycetaceae. The record is from the annotation of a GenBank genome assembly.
UUACUAUUCUUCGAAUGAUUCAUUGAACCUUGAAAUAAUGUGAUAAAAUAUCUUGAUUGAACGAAAAAGCUGACACAAACAAAACAACGCAGGAGAUUUAUCAAAGAACUGCCUACUUGGCAGCAUUAUGCAACAAAAGUAGCUUACUCAUUAUACAAUAAGGAAACCAAAAUACUUAUCACAAAUGGAUCAUGGAAAGAAGUACUUAAGUACGAUACCACAUUCAACUUUAGUUUUCAAAGUGUUGUUUUAAGCCCAUCGUAUGGGAGAUUAGUAAUUGAUAGAAGAUUUACAAAGA